This 492-nucleotide ribosomal RNA is filed under the name uncultured bacterium. RNAcentral's name for it is "partial 16S ribosomal RNA". It matches the Rfam family "Bacterial small subunit ribosomal RNA", at positions 29 to 507 of the family's 1533-position model. The record is from RNAcentral.
AGUGAACGCUGGCGGUAGGCCUAACACAUGCAAGUCGAACGGCAGCACAGUAAGAGCUUGCUCUUACGGGUGGCGAGUGGCGGACGGGUGAGGAAUACAUCGGGAUCUACUUUUUCGUGGGGGAUAACGUAGGGAAACUUACGCUAAUACCGCAUACGACCUACGGGUGAAAGCAGGGGAUCUACGGACCUUGCGCGAUUGAAUGAGCCGAUGUCGGAUUAGCUAGUUGGCGGGGUAAAGGCCCACCAAGGCGACGAUCCGUAGCUGGUCUGAGAGGAUGAUCAGCCACACUGGAACUGAGACACGGUCCAGACUCCUACGGGAGGCAGCAGUGGGGAAUAUUGGACAAAGGGCGCAAGCCUGAUCCAGCCAUACCGCGUGGGUGAAGAAGGCCUUCGGGUUGUAAAGCCCUUUUGUUGGGAAAGAAAAGCAGCAGGUUAAUACCCCGCUGUUCUGACGGUACCCAAAGAAUAAGCACCGGCUAACUUCGUG